This 254-nucleotide ribosomal RNA is filed under the name uncultured bacterium. RNAcentral describes it as "partial small subunit ribosomal RNA". It matches the Rfam family "Bacterial small subunit ribosomal RNA", at positions 27 to 285 of the family's 1533-position model. The record is from RNAcentral.
GGGACGAACGCUGGCGGCGUGCUUAACACAUGCAAGUCGAGCGGAAAGGCCCUUCGGGGUACUCGAGCGGCGAACGGGUGAGUAACACGUGAGCAACCUGCCCUUAGCUCCGGGAUAGCUCCGGGAAACCGGAAUUAAUACCGGAUACGACCACGGCCGACAUCUGCUGUGGUGGAAAGGAUUCCGGCUAAGGAUGGGCUCGCGGCCUAUCAGCUAGUUGGUGGAGUAGCGGCCCACCAAGGCGACGACGGGUA